GUGGGGAAUUUUGGACAAUGGGGGCAACCCUGAUCCAGCCAUUCCGCGUGAGUGAAGAAGGCCUUCGGGUUGUAAAGCUCUUUCGUCAGGAACGAAACGGCGGGCUCUAACAUAGCCUGUUAAUGACGGUACCUGAAGAAGAAGCACCGGCUAACUACGUGCCAGCAGCCGCGGUAAUACGUAGGGUGCGAGCGUUAAUCGGAAUUACUGGGCGUAAAGCGUGCGCAGGCGGAUUGUUAAGCAAGACGUGAAAUCCCCGGGCUUAACCUGGGAAUGGCGUUUUGAACUGGCAGUCUAGAGUGCGUCAGAGGGGGGUGGAAUUCCACGUGUAGCAGUGAAAUGCGUAGAGAUGUGGAGGAACACCGAUGGCGAAGGCAGCCCCCUGGGAUGACACUGACGCUCAUGUACGAAAGCGUGGGUAGCAAACAGGAUUAGAAACCCCUGUAGUCC
This 450-nucleotide ribosomal RNA is filed under the name uncultured bacterium. RNAcentral describes it as "partial 16S ribosomal RNA". It matches the Rfam family "Bacterial small subunit ribosomal RNA", at positions 354 to 796 of the family's 1533-position model. The record is from RNAcentral.